GACGAACGCUGGCGGCGUGCUUAACACAUGCAAGUCGAACGGAAAGGCCCUUCGGGGUACUCGAGUGGCGAACGGGUGAGUAACACGUGGGUGAUCUGCCCUGCACUUUGGGAUAAGCCUGGGAAACUGGGUCUAAUACCGAAUAUGACCACGCGCUUCAUGGUGUGUGGUGGAAAGCUUUUGCGGUGUGGGAUGGGCCCGCGGCCUAUCAGCUUGGUGGUGGGGUAAUGGACUACCAAGGCGACGACGGGUAGCCGGCCUGAGAGGGUGACCGGCCACACUGGGACUGAGAUACGGCCCAGACUCCUACGGGAGGCAGCAGUGGGGAAUAUUGCACAAUGGGCGCAAGCCUGAUGCAGCGACGCCGCGUGAGGGAUGACGGCCUUCGGGUUGUAAACCUCUUUCGCCAGGGACGAAGCGCAAGUGACGGUACCUGGAGAAGAAGGACCGGCCAACUACGUGCCAGCAGCAGCCGCGG
Molecule: ribosomal RNA, 478 nt
Filed under: uncultured bacterium
Lineage: Bacteria
Description: partial 16S ribosomal RNA
Rfam family: Bacterial small subunit ribosomal RNA
Source: RNAcentral